RNAcentral lists this ribosomal RNA (426 nucleotides) under bacterium Ellin606. Its description in RNAcentral is "bacterial SSU rRNA". It matches the Rfam family "Bacterial small subunit ribosomal RNA", at positions 32 to 452 of the family's 1533-position model. Lineage: Bacteria; Pseudomonadati; Acidobacteriota; Terriglobia; Terriglobales; Acidobacteriaceae. The record is from RNAcentral.
AAUCAACGCUGGCGGCGUGCCUAACACAUGCAAGUCGAACGAGAAAGUGGAGCAAUCCAUGAGUACAGUGGCGACCGGGUGAGUAACACGUGAUCAACCUACCCUCGAGUGGGGAAUAACUCCGGGAAACCGGAGCUAAUACCGCAUAACAUCUUCGGUCCACAUGAACUGAUGAUCAAAGGAGCAAUUCGCUUGAGGAGGGGGUCGCGGCUGAUUAGCUAGUUGGUAGGGUAAUGGCCUACCAAGGCUUAGAUCGGUAUCCGGCCUGAGAGGGCGCACGGACACACUGGAACUGAAACACGGUCCAGACUCCUACGGGAGGCAGCAGUGGGGAAUUUUGCGCAAUGGGGGAAACCCUGACGCAGCAACGCCGCGUGGAGGAUGAAGUCCCUUGGGACGUAAACUCCUUUCGACCGGGAAGAUACU